RNAcentral lists this long non-coding RNA (2364 nucleotides) under Homo sapiens (human). Its description in RNAcentral is "non-protein coding lnc-PDGFB-5:1". The record is from RNAcentral. Lineage: Eukaryota; Metazoa; Chordata; Mammalia; Primates; Hominidae.
CCUUUCCUGUUGUUGGGUGAUCUCGGUCACUUCCUUUACCCACCCGGGCCUCAGUCUCUCUGCUGUCAAAUGGGCCACCCUGAAGAGUACACCCAUUUCCCAGGGUGAAACCUCAGAGGGGCCGUAAGAGGUUUCUGUUCCAGUGAAGAAUGUUAAAAUGCUUCACAAAGAUGCCCUGUGUGCUAGGAGGCGGCACUGCCAGUUGUGCGGGGGUGACAGAUCAGAGACGGUGUCUCUAGAGGACCUCUUAGGGCAGGAAGGAGUGUCUGACGAAGCUCAAGGAAGGCUGGGCAGGAGCGUGGGCUUUGGGGCUGGGAUUUCUGAGUUCUGGCCUGUCCCCCUGCCACCUCCUGUCCAAGUGGCCCAGGCACAGUCUCCCACCUCUGCCAGGGCCCCUCAGGGAAGCUGGGCACACCCUAACAGUUCUGUGUGCCCUCUCUGGCCGCCCCCCCCACCAGCAGGCAGCCCAGGUCCCCUGCCUCUCCCAGCCCGCCUGCCUUGUGCGGCUUGGGACCAUUUCACAAAAUCAUUUGUAUUUGGCCCCUAUGGCAACCUCCUGAGGCAGGAAUGAGGGUUUUGUUUGACAGAGAAGGAAACUGAGGCUCUUACCUGGAGCCCAGAGCAAGGACCUGGCCAGGGCUGCCACCUCCAGGUGGGGGCUUUUCCACUGCCCCUCGCUGCUGGGUUCUUCUGGCUCCUUCUCCAGGAGAUUUCCUGCCAUGGAUUCAAAAGACAAAUUUUAUUGUUCUUUCCUUUUAAAAUCAGGGUGUCCCCAUCCCAGGGUUUCUUUCUGCCUCCCAGGUGUGUGGUGGGGCCUUGGUCCAACAGGGUGCGACACUUGGGAAUCCCAUGGAGCGUGGUAAGGAGAGCAGUGGACAGGUAUCAAAGGCCCGGAUUCUAGUCCUCCACCAGGGACACUUUCCCUUUGGUCCGUUGGUGUCCUGCUGGGGAUGGAUGCUCAGUGGAUGGUCAGACAUUUGCAAUAGGUGCCGUGGGGUUCAUUGGUAUGUGCUAAGCUCAGAGUAAGAGCCUGGCCCAAGGUCACACGAGGCCUCCACAUUCUUUCUGUUGUCCACGUGACCUCUGUACUGGGGGCUGCAGAGAGUGUGGAUGGAAAGAACUGAAGUGGGAGGCAGGAUGAAAUGACUGAAUCUCCUCAUUACUUUUGGCAGUUGUUUGGAGUCUCUGGUUGUGUUGUCUUAUGUGUCAUGUGUAGCUUCGUGGCAUUGUCAAGUUGUGCUUUUUUUUGUUUUUUGAGACAGGGUCUCACCCUGUCUCCCAGGCUGGAGUGCAGUGGUGCGAUCUUGGCUCACUACAACCUCUGCCUCCCAGGCUCAAGCAAUUCUCCUGCCUCAGCCUCCUGAAUAGUUGGGACUACAGGUGUAUGCCACCGUGCCUGGCUAAUUUUUGUAUUUUUGGUAAAUGGGGUUUUUUGUUUGUUUUUUUUUCUUUUUCUUUCUUUCUUUUUUUUUUUUUUUUUUUGAGAUGGAGUCUCGCUCUGUUGCCCAGGCUGGAGUGCAGUGGCGCGAUCUCGGCUCACUGCAAGCUCCGCCUCCCAGGUUCACACCAUUCUGUAAUCCCAGCUACUCAGGGGGCUGAGACAGGACAGUCACUUGAGCCCGGGAGGUGGAGGUUGCAGGGAGCCAAGAUCAUACCAUUGCACUCCAGCCUGGGUGAUAAGAGUGAAACUCCGUCCCCUGCCGCCCCGCCCCCCCACCCCAACAAGAAAAACAAGAUCUGAAAUGCUCCAGAAUCCAAAACAUUUUGAGCACCAAAAUGAUGUUCAAAGGAAGUGUUCAUUGGAGCAGUCUAAAUUUCAGAUUUUUGGAUUGGGGAUGCUCAGCUAGUAUAUAUAAUGCAAAUAUUCCAAAAUCCUAAAAAAAUUCGAAGUCUGAAACACUUCUGGUUCCAAGCAUUUCGGAUAAGGAAUGCUCUGCCUGUGUGUGGUUGUAGGUAAGCCUCUUCACCUGUAAAAUGGGUAUGAAGAGAAUACCCGCUCUCCUUAAUGUAAUAAGACCCACCAGGCAGGAUAUUGGAAGCCAGAAAGUCAGGAUUCUUGGUCCACUUGUAUGUGGUCCAUGUCAAGCGUCCUUGGCCACUCCUGAUUAAAACCCAUGGAGGCUUUCGCCAGAGGGGGUGGGCCUCCCUUCAUGCAGUGGGCAUGUUCCAUUGGGUUUGGCAUGAAUUGAGCCUAGGAAGGGAAGUAACAUCUCCUGGACGUCUGUGUGCCAGGCUGUCUGCCCAGUGUGCCUCACAGAUGAAUAUACUCCAUCCACAUACUAAGCCUACAGGGCAGGUGUGUUCGUUAUCUCUUCCCCUCUAACAUGGCAACUCAAAGCAAUAAACAUUGAUUAUUUCACAUGG